GUAAUAGCUCACUGGUCGAGUCGGCCUGCGCGGAAGAUGUAACGGGGCUAAACCAUGCACCGAAGCUGCGGCAGCGACGCUUAUGCGUUGUUGGGUAGGGGAGCGUUCUGUAAGCCUGUGAAGGUGUACUGUGAGGUAUGCUGGAGGUAUCAGAAGUGCGAAUGCUGACAUAAGUAACGAUAAAGCGGGUGAAAAGCCCGCUCGCCGGAAGACCAAGGGUUCCUGUCCAACGUUAAUCGGGGCAGGGUGAGUCGACCCCUAAGG
RNAcentral lists this ribosomal RNA (264 nucleotides) under Escherichia coli. RNAcentral describes it as "partial 23S ribosomal RNA". It matches the Rfam family "Bacterial large subunit ribosomal RNA", at positions 1134 to 1396 of the family's 2925-position model. The record is from RNAcentral. Lineage: Bacteria; Pseudomonadati; Pseudomonadota; Gammaproteobacteria; Enterobacterales; Enterobacteriaceae.